This 745-nucleotide long non-coding RNA is filed under the name Lonchura striata (white-rumped munia). RNAcentral describes it as "domestica (Bengalese finch) lncRNA (ENSLSDG00000002957.1)". The record is from RNAcentral. Lineage: Eukaryota; Metazoa; Chordata; Aves; Passeriformes; Estrildidae.
CCUCCCCGGCACACCUGGACUCGAUUCCUGCCCCCCCAAAUAAAGCCCAGGUGUGAUCCAGGUGUGCCCAGGUGUGCUCCAGGUGUGUCCAUGUCUAUCCAGGUGCGCCCAGGUGCGCCCAGGUGCGCUCAGGGGGGCGGCAGGAGGGGCGUGGGCACACCUGGCACCCCCGGAACCGCACAGGUGACCCCUCCAGGUGUGUCCACGUCCAUCCAGGUGCGUUCCACGUCCAUCCAGGUGUAUCCAGGUGCGCUCCAGGUGUGCCCACGUCCAUCCAGGUGCGCCCAGGUGUGCUCCAGGUGUGUUCCACGUCCAUCCAGGUGUAUCCAGGUGCGCCCAGGUGCGCUCAGGGGGGCAGCAGGAGGGGCGUGGGCACACCUGGCAGCCCUGGAACCGCACAGGUGACCCCUCCAGGUGUGUCCACGCCCAUCCAGGUGUAUCCAGGUGUGCCCACGUCCAUCCAGGUGCGCCCAGGGCGGGGUCAGGAGGGGCGUGGGCACACCUGGCAGCCCUGGAACCGCACAGGUGACCCCUCCAGGUGUGUCCACGCCCAUCCAGGUGUAUCCAGGUGUGCCCAUGUCCAUCCAGGUGCGUUCCACGCCCAUCCAGGUGUAUCCAGGUGUGCCCAGGUGCGCCCAGGUGCGCUCAGGGGGGCGGCAGGAGGGGCACCAGCAGCCGCAGCGCCCCCAGCCCCAGGGCGGCGGCGCCCAGCGCCCGCAGCCCCAGCGCCCCCCAGGGGCCGAGC